Molecule: non-coding RNA, 32 nt
Filed under: Rattus norvegicus (Norway rat)
Lineage: Eukaryota; Metazoa; Chordata; Mammalia; Rodentia; Muridae
Source: RNAcentral
UAAAUGCCUAAAACUUUGAAAUCAGACUGACU